GACGAACGCUGGCGGCGCGCCUAACACAUGCAAGUCGAACGAGCGAGAGAGAGCUUGCUUUCUCAAGCGAGUGGCGAACGGGUGAGUAACGCGUGAGGAACCUGCCUCAAAGAGGGGGACAACAGCUGGAAACGACUGCUAAUACCGCAUAAGCCCACGACCCGGCAUCGGGUAGAGGGAAAAGGAGCAAUCCGCUUUGAGAUGGCCUCGCGUCCGAUUAGCUAGUUGGUGAGGUAACGGCCCACCAAGGCGACGAUCGGUAGCCGGACUGAGAGGUUGAACGGCCACAUUGGGACUGAGACACGGCCCAGACUCCUACGGGAGGCAGCAGUGGGGAAUAUUGCACAAUGGGGGAAACCCUGAUGCAGCGACGCCGCGUGGAGGAAGAAGGUCUUCGGAUUGUAAACUCCUGUUGUUGAGGAAGAUAAUGACGGUACUCAACAAGGAAGUGACGGCUAACUACGUG
RNAcentral lists this ribosomal RNA (466 nucleotides) under uncultured bacterium. Its description in RNAcentral is "partial 16S ribosomal RNA". It matches the Rfam family "Bacterial small subunit ribosomal RNA", at positions 28 to 507 of the family's 1533-position model. The record is from RNAcentral.